GUGACACAGUAACAGGGGGAUUGAGGGCCUGCUCAGUGAGUUUACAUGUUAGAGGGAGUGGGGUAUAGUGACAGUAACAGAGGGAUUGAGGGCCUGCUCAGUGAGUUUACAUGUUAGAGGGAGUGGGGUAUAGUGACACAGUAACAGAGGGAUUGAGGGCCUGCUCAGUGAGUUUACAUGUUAGAGAGAGUGGGGUAUAGUGACAGUAACAGAGGGAUUGAGGGCCUGCUCAGUGAGUUUACAUGUUAGAGGGAGUGGGGUAUAGUGACACAGUAACAGAGGGAUUGAGGCCCUGCUCGGUGAGUUUACAUGUUAGAGGGAGUG
This is a non-coding RNA of Pelobates cultripes (western spadefoot toad), 324 nucleotides long. The record is from the annotation of a GenBank genome assembly. NCBI's taxonomy places the organism in Eukaryota, Metazoa, Chordata, Amphibia, Anura, Pelobatidae.